This 480-nucleotide ribosomal RNA is filed under the name uncultured bacterium. RNAcentral describes it as "bacterial SSU rRNA". It matches the Rfam family "Bacterial small subunit ribosomal RNA", at positions 27 to 518 of the family's 1533-position model. The record is from RNAcentral.
GGACGAACGCUGGCGGCAUGCCCUAACGACAAUGCAAAGUCGAACGGGGGGUAGUAAGUACCCUAGUGGCGAACGGGUGAGUAACACAUAAGCAAUCUGCCCUUCGACAGGGGGAUAACAGCGGAAACUGCUGCUAAUACCGCAUAAGACCACGGUACCGCAUGGUACAGGGGUAAAAAACGGAUCAGUGGUGAAAGGAUGAGCUUAUGUCCCAUUAGCUAGUUGGUGAGAUAACCAGCCCCACCAAGGCGACGAUGGGUAGCCGACCUGAGAGGGUGAUCGGCCACACUGGAACUGAGACACGGUCCAGACUCCUACGGGAGGCAGCAGUGGGGAAUAUUGGGCAAUGGAAGGAAACUCUUACCCAGCAAUGCCGCGUGAGUGAAGAAGGUCUUCGGAUUGUAAAGCUCUUUGAUUGGGGACGAAGAAAGUGACGGUACCCAAAGAACAAGCCCCGGCUAACUACGUGCCAGCCGCCGC